AGUUUACGAAGACAAAAGAGGAAUGACGACUCAGCAUAUUGUAAUUAUCCAGUUGAUAUUUAUCUUGUUCCAGUCACCUUUAGAAAGCUGUUUGGCAAGGGCAGUGACUGGAAGCUGGGAGAGAGGGUCAACAGCUGAAUCUCAGCCUGAUGGAGGCCACCAUUUAAUAAGUAAAUACAUGCACGGCUAUUUAGAUCCUGCAUCAGACAGGUCAUCAGAAAACAUGAAGCUAAAUGCAGUAAAGAAUUACUCUCUUGAACUCUUGAAAAUAUCAAAAACAUGAAGCUAAAUGCAGUAAAGAAUUAGUCUCUUGAACUCUUGAAAAUAUCAUUUUCUUAUAGAAAUGGUUUAAAAAUUUCUUUUUUAUUAUUUCUAAUUUUCCUUCAGAAAAUUGUGAGUUUUAACCUACAACACAUACACUCCAAGGUAAUGCCACUCUAAUGCUGUCUAGUUGAUCUGAAUAACUAACUGGUCAAUUAUCAGAUCCACCAAACUGUCUCUCUGGAGAUUAACUUCUGCCAGCAUAUUGGUUUCUGUUCAUUUUCACAAGAUUGACAGGCUCAUUACAGCAAUAUUAACAUCUUCCUUUGAGCACUCACACUGUGCAAUUGUAAUUUUGCAUAUGUUGAUGAGCAGGCAAUUACAUCAAAGAGUGAACACUGGGCUGAUGUGCAAGGCACUAUUUAAUUAUAAAAACAGUAUAGGAUUGAGCCCUGUCACUGAGUCUUCCAUUCCUUCUAUCUCGCCUGUUUCUAAUUUAUUUCUCUAUUUCUUCAUUUCUUCCUUGACUGUCUUCAUUCUUUGCUUUUUAUUUCUUUCUCCUUAAAUGACAGACCUUUUCUUAGAUGCCAUUUCUCUAUGUCUGCGCUUAAGACAAGAAUUUUUUUCCUCCUAGUUGUUGGUUAAUGUCUGCAAAUGUGAGAGCAUGUUAACAUGACAAACAACAAGGAAUUUGAAAUAAACUUAAA
This 968-nucleotide long non-coding RNA is filed under the name Homo sapiens (human). RNAcentral's name for it is "non-protein coding SLC8A1-AS1:10". Lineage: Eukaryota; Metazoa; Chordata; Mammalia; Primates; Hominidae. The record is from RNAcentral.